GGGAGCUGGCCCCGCGCGACCACCUAACCACGACCCUCCCUCUCCCUCCGCCGCCCGGCUCAUUGCAGAGCGUUGCAAAGUUGGCGCGGGUGCUGGGGAAGUCCCGCCGCGCCCCCACGUGGCUGCCGCGCGGGGAGCUGUCCCCAGGGCCCAGGGAGGGCAGGUGACCACGCCGUGAGCCCGCAAGCCCCGUCUCCAGCUACCCCGGCCUCUGCGUCUGCCUCCCUCCCUUUCCAGGUCCGGGCGAACUGCGGCGCUCCGCCGGGACCCUCUGGUCCCUGGACCCGGCCGGGUGGCCUGCGAGUCUCGGCGCCUGUGUCUGGCGACCCGGGCCCUGCGGGAGCCGGUUGAGGCGAGAGCUCAGGUAGCUGAGGGGCCUGAUCCCUGCGCUCAGCGCUCCUGCCUUAAUCCGCCCCUGUUUCCAUGGCAACAGACCGAGGUGUCGUAAGCACAGGAUUCUGACCUCACAGUAGGAUAGGGAAGGAGAAAACGGGCAGGGGGAGGUGGCGGAGGAAUGGGAAGCGAAGCCUCAAGAUGGGCGGAGAGGAGCAGGCGUGGGGGUCAUGGAGGAGACCCCACUAGCAGGUGGGACAGCAAGCUGGGUCCUGUCUUCUGGCAGGACAUUUUAGGAAUUGCGUGCGCUGCCUUGCAUCCCUUCAGGAAAGGACUCUACUGGCCACAGCCCCACCUCUGUGAACCAGAACAGCCCGAGUCGUCAGUGGAUCCUGCUGCUGACAGUGCUAGUAGCUGAAGGCUUCAGCUGCUGCCUGCCCUCUUUUCCAUCUCCUGGCCUACCCUGGCAGAACCAGGGAUAUAAAAAGCAAGCCUCUGGUCAGAGAUGAGAGGCAGGCAGAGCAAGCCAGGCCCCGAGCCACCCAGCACCAUCCAGGAAGAAAGAGCAGCCCUGUUGGGGGUUUUGCUUUGCCAGAAGUGGCCUGCUUAAGGUCAGGAUCUAUGGUUUUCAUUUUUAGAGCUAUAAAAACAGAAUGCAAAUCAACAGCCUCUGGGCUAAUAAAGAACCUGUCCUUAAA
Neofelis nebulosa (Clouded leopard) is the source of this 1031-nucleotide long non-coding RNA. RefSeq lists it as uncharacterized. The record is from RefSeq and is a predicted model, not a curated record. NCBI's taxonomy places the organism in Eukaryota, Metazoa, Chordata, Mammalia, Carnivora, Felidae. The transcript is spliced from 2 exons.